This 167-nucleotide ribosomal RNA is filed under the name uncultured bacterium. Its description in RNAcentral is "partial 16S rRNA". It matches the Rfam family "Bacterial small subunit ribosomal RNA", at positions 355 to 511 of the family's 1533-position model. The record is from RNAcentral.
UAGGGAAUCUUCGGCAAAUGGGGGGCAACCCUGACCGAGCAACGCCGCGUGAGUGAAGAAGGUUUUCGGAUCGUAAAGCUCUGUUGUAAGAGAAGAACGUGUGUGAGAGUGGAAAGUUCACACAGUGACGGUAACUUACCAGAAAGGGACGGCUAACUACGUGCCAG